RNAcentral lists this ribosomal RNA (253 nucleotides) under uncultured bacterium. RNAcentral's name for it is "partial 16S ribosomal RNA". It matches the Rfam family "Bacterial small subunit ribosomal RNA", at positions 524 to 776 of the family's 1533-position model. The record is from RNAcentral.
UACGUAGGGUGCGAGCGUUAAUCGGAAUUACUGGGCGUAAAGAGCGCGCAGGCGGUCGUCCAAGUCGCGUGUGAAAGCCCCCGGCUCAACUGGGGAGGGUCACGCGAUACUGAUCGACUCGAAGGCAGGAGAGGGAAGCGGAAUUCCCGGUGUAGUGGUGAAAUGCGUAGAUAUCGGGAGGAACACCAGUGGCGAAGGCGGCUUCCUGGCCUGUUCUUGACGCUGAGGCGCGAAAGCUAGGGUAGCAAACGGG